GAACUAUCAGUUUGGAUGCGGUGAUGAUAAAAAAAAAAUGGAUAUGCUGUAGCAAUUUUGGGCCCCUCCAACAGGCUGAAUGUUGUCCUUGUAUCUUGUUACUUUUACAUGAGUUUACCCUCAGUGCUGUGUGAUGUUUAAAGCUGGGAAGAUCUGUAAAAUAAGAAUUAAAAGAAGAUGAACUCAAAUAAAGUAUAUUCUGUUAUUGACAUGUUUUUCUCUUUUCUAUACAGAAAAUGUUUUCAGACUGCUCAUUUCUAUGUGGAAGACAGCAGUUCACCUCGAGUGGUCCCUAAUGAAAGUAUUCCUAUUAUUCCUAUUCCGGAUGACAUGGAAGCCAUUCCUGUCAAACAGUUUGUCAAACACAUCGGUGAGCUCUAUUCUAAUAACCAGCAUGGGUUCUCUGAGGAUUUUGAGGAAGUCCAGCGCUGUACUGCUGAUAUGAACAUCACUGCAGAGCAUUCCAAUCAUCCAGAAAACAAGCACAAAAACAGAUACAUCAACAUUUUAGCAUAUGAUCACAGUAGGGUGAAGUUAAGACCUUUACCAGGAAAAGACUCUAAGCACAGCGACUACAUUAAUGCAAACUAUGUUGAUGGUUACAACAAAGCAAAAGCCUACAUUGCCACCCAAGGACCUCUGAAGUCUACAUUUGAAGAUUUCUGGAGGAUGAUUUGGGAACAAAACACUGGAAUCAUUGUGAUGAUUACAAACCUUGUGGAAAAA
This 726-nucleotide small RNA is filed under the name Pan troglodytes (chimpanzee). Its description in RNAcentral is "processed transcript". Lineage: Eukaryota; Metazoa; Chordata; Mammalia; Primates; Hominidae. The record is from RNAcentral.